AUGGUCCAACUACAGAACUUCUUCUUUUUCAUUACUUCCAUGGUCGUGCCCCGUGGCAUGGCAGCACCCGUACUAUUGAAAUGGUUCGUCAGUAGAGAUGUUCCCACUAGUGCCUCUUCUUCCAAUGGUACUAUAAUUCCUAUUCCUAUCUUAUUCCCUUUUUUGGUCUAUCUACAUUUAAGGAAAUUCAUACGCUCCAUGGACAGAGCAAAAAGUGGAGUGUUGGUCAAAGCAAGCCGCCCUAUUCUAUUACCAGACAAAAUGGAGAGAAGCUCAUCCGCUAGAAAUGCUUUAUUUCGUUUCGUUCCCGUUCUUCAUUUCCUUAUUAUCGAAUCCAUGGGGGACUUGUCAUAUUUAGAAUCUUUCUGCGGUCUGCUCUGUUUACAAUUCUUUCGUACUCUCUUCUCUUUACCACGCGAUAGGUCAGCGAAGCGUGAGCGGGCGCUCCGAAGUAAAGGCCAAACACUUCGGCCUAAGGGGAAUGAGCAACAAAAUUACAAGAUGAGGUGCCCCGGGCACCCCCAUAUAGAAAGAAGGGUCGAAGGUUUUGGGCCUGUAGCUUUCCCCGCCCCCCCCCCCUCGUCGAGUGGUGCUUGUUUGGGGGGUGUGCCACCAGAAAGUGGGCUUGAAGCUCUUGCCUUACCAACGAGCCGACUGCUGAUGGCUGUUGGUCACGACUACUACAAAAAAGUGAAGAUGAAUCUUUCUAUUUCACAUGGAGGAGUGUGCAUCUUUAUGUUGGGUGUUCUUCUGUCAUGCGACCCGAUGGCUUAUGUGCGACCUGUGGCCCAUGCCUCCUAUUCUAUUUGUUCAGGGCGGGCGGCGUGA
Molecule: ribosomal RNA, 828 nt
Filed under: Triticum aestivum (bread wheat)
Lineage: Eukaryota; Viridiplantae; Streptophyta; Magnoliopsida; Poales; Poaceae
Description: partial small subunit ribosomal RNA
Source: RNAcentral